RNAcentral lists this ribosomal RNA (1424 nucleotides) under uncultured Actinomycetes bacterium. Its description in RNAcentral is "bacterial SSU rRNA". It matches the Rfam family "Bacterial small subunit ribosomal RNA". Lineage: Bacteria; Bacillati; Actinomycetota; Actinomycetes. The record is from RNAcentral.
GACGAACGCUGGCGGCGUGCUUAACACAUGCAAGUCGAACGGUGAUGGAGAGCUUGCUCUCCUGAUCAGUGGCGAACGGGUGAGUAACACGUGAGCAACCUACCCUUGACUCUGGGAUAACAGCUGGAAACAGCUGCUAAUACCGGAUACGACCCUGGCGGGCAUCUGCCGGGGUGGAAAGCUCCGACGGUCAAGGAUGGGCUCGCGGCCUAUCAGCUUGUUGGUGAGGUAACGGCUCACCAAGGCGACGACGGGUAGCCGGCCUGAGAGGGCGACCGGCCACACUGGGACUGAGAUACGGCCCAGACUCCUACGGGAGGCAGCAGUGGGGAAUAUUGCACAAUGGGCGAAAGCCUGAUGCAGCAACGCCGCGUGCGGGAUGACGGCCUUUCAGCAGGGACGAAGCGAAAGUGACGGUACCUGCAGAAGAAGCACCGGCUAACUACGUGCCAGCAGCCGCGGUGAUACGUAGGGUGCGAGCGUUGUCCGGAAUUAUUGGGCGUAAAGAGCUUGUAGGCGGUCUGUCACGUCGGAAGUGAAAACUCAGGGCUUAACCCUGAGCCUGCUUUCGAUACGGGCAGACUUGAGGGAUGUAGGGGAGAACGGAAUUCCUGGUGGAGCGGUGGAAUGCGCAGAUAUCAGGAGGAACACCAGUGGCGAAGGCGGUUCUCUGGACAUUUCCUGACGCUGAGAAGCGAAAGCGUGGGGAGCAAACAGGCUUAGAUACCCUGGUAGUCCACGCCGUAAACGGUGGGCACUAGGUGUGGGUCCCAUUCCACGGGAUCCGUGCCGAAGCUAACGCAUUAAGUGCCCCGCCUGGGGAGUACGGCCGCAAGGCUAAAACUCAAAGGAAUUGACGGGGGCCCGCACAAGCGGCGGAGCAUGCGGAUUAAUUCGAUGCAACGCGAAGAACCUUACCUGGGUUUGACAUAUACCGGAAACAUCUGGAGACAGGUGCCCCGCAAGGUCGGUAUACAGGUGGUGCAUGGCUGUCGUCAGCUCGUGUCGUGAGAUGUUGGGUUAAGUCCCGCAACGAGCGCAACCCUCGUUCUAUGUUGCCAGCGGUUCGGCCGGGAACUCAUAGAAGACUGCCGGGGUCAACUCGGAGGAAGGUGGGGAUGACGUCAAGUCAUCAUGCCCCUUAUGUCCAGGGCUUCACGCAUGCUACAAUGGCUGGUACAAAGGGCUGCAAUAUCGCAAGAUGGAGCGAAUCCCAUAAAGCCAGUCUCAGUUCGGAUUGGGGUCUGCAACUCGACCCCAUGAAGUCGGAGUCGCUAGUAAUCGCAGAUCAGCAACGCUGCGGUGAAUACGUUCCCGGGCCUUGUACACACCGCCCGUCAAGUCAUGAAAGUCGGUAACACCCGAAGCCGGUGGCCUAACCCUUGUGGAGGGAGCCGUCGAAGGUGGGACCGGUAAUUAGGACU